UUAAGUUGCAGGGUAUAGACCCGAAACCCGGUGAUCUAGCCAUGGGCAGGUUGAAGGUUGGGUAACACUAACUGGAGGACCGAACCGACUAAUGUUGAAAAAUUAGCGGAUGACCUGUGGCUGGGGGUGAAAGGCCAAUCAAACCGGGAGAUAGCUGGUUCUCCCCGAAAGCUAUUUAGGUAGCGCCUCGUGAAUUCAUCUCCGGGGGUAGAGCACUGUUUCGGCUAGGGGGCCAUCCCGGCUUACCAACCCGAUGCAAACUGCGAAUACCGGAGAAUGUUAUCACGGGAGACACACGGCGGGUGCUAACGUCCGUCGUGAA
This 322-nucleotide ribosomal RNA is filed under the name Salmonella enterica subsp. enterica serovar Montevideo. Its description in RNAcentral is "partial 23S ribosomal RNA". It matches the Rfam family "Bacterial large subunit ribosomal RNA", at positions 695 to 1014 of the family's 2925-position model. Lineage: Bacteria; Pseudomonadati; Pseudomonadota; Gammaproteobacteria; Enterobacterales; Enterobacteriaceae. The record is from RNAcentral.